Molecule: ribosomal RNA, 3007 nt
Filed under: Salmonella enterica subsp. enterica serovar Typhimurium
Lineage: Bacteria; Pseudomonadati; Pseudomonadota; Gammaproteobacteria; Enterobacterales; Enterobacteriaceae
Description: 23S ribosomal RNA
Rfam family: Bacterial large subunit ribosomal RNA
Source: RNAcentral
GGUUAAGCGACUAAGCGUACACGGUGGAUGCCCUGGCAGUCAGAGGCGAUGAAGGGCGUGCUAAUCUGCGAUAAGCGCCGGUAAGGUGAUAUGAACCGUUAUAACCGGCGAUACCCGAAUGGGGAAACCCAGUGUGACUCGUCACACUAUCAUUAACUGAAUCCAUAGGUUAAUGAGGCGAACCGGGGGAACUGAAACAUCUAAGUACCCCGAGGAAAAGAAAUCAACCGAGAUUCCCCCAGUAGCGGCGAGCGAACGGGGAGGAGCCCAGAGCCUGAAUCAGCAUGUGUGUUAGUGGAAGCGUCUGGAAAGGCGCGCGAUACAGGGUGACAGCCCCGUACACAAAAGCGCAUGUGCUGUGAGCUCGAUGAGUAGGGCGGGACACGUGGUAUCCUGUCUGAAUAUGGGGGGACCAUCCUCCAAGGCUAAAUACUCCUGACUGACCGAUAGUGAACCAGUACCGUGAGGGAAAGGCGAAAAGAACCCCGGCGAGGGGAGUGAAAAAGAACCUGAAAACCGUGUACGUACAAGCAGUGGGAGCCCCACCACCAAAGCAUUCUCUGGUGUUGAAGGCCCUGCAAAGCAGCAUCGCGGUGGCGGAGCGUCGUUUGCGACGCCCAACACACAAAACAAGCGGUGAAUGCUUUGGGGUGGGGUGACUGCGUACCUUUUGUAUAAUGGGUCAGCGACUUAUAUUCUGUAGCAAGGUUAACCGAAUAGGGGAGCCGGAGGGAAACCGAGUCUUAAUUGGGCGUUAAGUUGCAGGGUAUAGACCCGAAACCCGGUGAUCUAGCCAUGGGCAGGUUGAAGGUUGGGUAACACUAACUGGAGGACCGAACCGACUAAUGUUGAAAAAUUAGCGGAUGACCUGUGGCUGGGGGUGAAAGGCCAAUCAAACCGGGAGAUAGCUGGUUCUCCCCGAAAGCUAUUUAGGUAGCGCCUCGUGAAUUCAUCUCCGGGGGUAGAGCACUGUUUCGGCUAGGGGGCCAUCCCGGCUUACCAACCCGAUGCAAACUGCGAAUACCGGAGAAUGUUAUCACGGGAGACACACGGCGGGUGCUAACGUCCGUCGUGAAGAGGGAAACAACCCAGACCGCCAGCUAAGGUCCCAAAGUCAUGGUUAAGUGGGAAACGAUGUGGGAAGGCCCAGACAGCCAGGAUGUUGGCUUAGAAGCAGCCAUCAUUUAAAGAAAGCGUAAUAGCUCACUGGUCGAGUCGGCCUGCGCGGAAGAUGUAACGGGGCUAAACCAUGCACCGAAGCUGCGGCAGCGACGCUGAUGCGUUGUUGGGUAGGGGAGCGUUCUGUAAGCCUGCGAAGGUGACCUGUGAGGGUUGCUGGAGGUAUCAGAAGUGCGAAUGCUGACAUAAGUAACGAUAAAGCGGGUGAAAAGCCCGCUCGCCGGAAGACCAAGGGUUCCUGUCCAACGUUAAUCGGGGCAGGGUGAGUCGACCCCUAAGGCGAGGCCGAAAGGCGUAGUCGAUGGGAAACGGGUUAAUAUUCCCGUACUUGGUGUUACUGCGAAGGGGGACGGAGAAGGCUAUGUUGGCCGGGCGACGGUUGUCCCGGUUUAAGCGUGUAGGUGUGUGUUCCAGGUAAAUCCGGUUCACUUUAACACUGAGGCGUGAUGACGAGGCACUACGGUGCUGAAGCAACAAAUGCCCUGCUUCCAGGAAAAGCCUCUAAGCAUCAGGUAACAUCAAAUCGUACCCCAAACCGACACAGGUGGUCAGGUAGAGAAUACCAAGGCGCUUGAGAGAACUCGGGUGAAGGAACUAGGCAAAAUGGUGCCGUAACUUCGGGAGAAGGCACGCUGACACGUAGGUGAAGUGAUUUACUCACGGAGCUGAAGUCAGUCGAAGAUACCAGCUGGCUGCAACUGUUUAUUAAAAACACAGCACUGUGCAAACACGAAAGUGGACGUAUACGGUGUGACGCCUGCCCGGUGCCGGAAGGUUAAUUGAUGGGGUCAGCGCAAGCGAAGCUCCUGAUCGAAGCCCCGGUAAACGGCGGCCGUAACUAUAACGGUCCUAAGGUAGCGAAAUUCCUUGUCGGGUAAGUUCCGACCUGCACGAAUGGCGUAAUGAUGGCCAGGCUGUCUCCACCCGAGACUCAGUGAAAUUGAACUCGCUGUGAAGAUGCAGUGUACCCGCGGCAAGACGGAAAGACCCCGUGAACCUUUACUAUAGCUUGACACUGAACAUUGAGCCUUGAUGUGUAGGAUAGGUGGGAGGCUUUGAAGUGUGGACGCCAGUCUGCAUGGAGCCGACCUUGAAAUACCACCCUUUAAUGUUUGAUGUUCUAACGUGGACCCGUAAUCCGGGUUGCGGACAGUGUCUGGUGGGUAGUUUGACUGGGGCGGUCUCCUCCUAAAGAGUAACGGAGGAGCACGAAGGUUGGCUAAUCCUGGUCGGACAUCAGGAGGUUAGUGCAAUGGCAUAAGCCAGCUUGACUGCGAGCGUGACGGCGCGAGCAGGUGCGAAAGCAGGUCAUAGUGAUCCGGUGGUUCUGAAUGGAAGGGCCAUCGCUCAACGGAUAAAAGGUACUCCGGGGAUAACAGGCUGAUACCGCCCAAGAGUUCAUAUCGACGGCGGUGUUUGGCACCUCGAUGUCGGCUCAUCACAUCCUGGGGCUGAAGUAGGUCCCAAGGGUAUGGCUGUUCGCCAUUUAAAGUGGUACGCGAGCUGGGUUUAGAACGUCGUGAGACAGUUCGGUCCCUAUCUGCCGUGGGCGCUGGAGAACUGAGGGGGCUGCUCCUAGUACGAGAGGACCGGAGUGGACGCAUCACUGGUGUUCGGGUUGUCAUGCCAAUGGCACUGCCCGGUAGCUAAAUGCGGAAGAGAUAAGUGCUGAAAGCAUCUAAGCACGAAACUUGCCCCGAGAUGAGUUCUCCCUGAGACUUUAGGUCUCCUGAAGGAACGUUGAAGACGACGACGUUGAUAGGCCGGGUGUGUAAGCGCAGCGAUGCGUUGAGCUAACCGGUACUAAUGAACCGUGAGGCUUAACCUU